ACCUCCUUUGUGUAAAGCCAUCUUUUGAUGUGUUCAGUUAAAAUUCAUUAUUCCUUCCUGAACAAAGACAAGUAUUAUAAUUUACAUCGGUCUUCUAAAAUUGGAGGUAGGGAUGAUUUUACUAUGACAAUGGCUGUGAUUAAGUCCAUGAACAAUCACUAAAGGUUUUAAUCUCUCCAUCCAAAAGCAUCAUUCGCAUUUCUGUAGUUUUCCAUAAUACAGCUAUAGCUUUUAGGUUCCAGAAAAUUUUAUAAGGCAAAAGAAGUAGGCCCUCACCUUUUAGACACUGGUUUUUCAGCACUCAAGUCUGUCUGAAGAGACAGUGAGUGUUAUUAAUCACCAUUUGGAAUCCAGGGACUACUUCUCUUUGACUUGUAGGUAUUUAUGGUAGGAGCACUGGAACAGACUGGUACACAUCAGAAGAAAGGGGUAAUGAUCUUGUGAAUGGAGUUGGCUGGCCCUGUGACACUCAGCAGGUUAGCACACACUGCUGUCUUCUGACUCUGGCUUGCUGCAGCGUCCACCCCAGUCAUUGCUCCCAGAGUGCGCUUAUCCUUGCCACCCUAGGGUUCCAGCUGGCAGAGCUGCGCUGGCCCCUGCACUGUUCCUGCAGGCUUUCUUCUCCCUAAUUGCAUGUAUUUGAUCACUCAGCUAGAAAAACAUCUUGGCAAAUCACGCUACAGUAAUCAUUUCCCUCUUCAGCUCGCCAUUGAGAAAACCAUCUGCUGUACUGAACCCGAGGUUCAGUCACGGAUGGCCAUUCAGAGAAGCUUCCAUUCUGGAGAAGUUGCCAGACGAAGCCGCUGACUUUUCACACUCAUGACUGAGAUUGAGCCUUGGCCUUCAUACGCCCGUGGCACACGGAAUUGAAGUUUAUCACUCUCCGACUCAGCCUAUAAGUCAGUUCCAGGCAUAUAUGGAAACAAUACGUGGCUGAGAUGGCACCGGAAUUCCAUGGGAAAGUGUGAGCUGCUCUGGGCACGAGAUCUCAUGAGUUCCUGAUGGCAGGGGAGUGGUUUCUGGUGGGCUUGCUGCUGAAAAAUCCCAAGAGCUGAGCCCCUUGCCCAACUCGCGAACCGUCCCGUGGGAGACAGGCGGGGUGGUACAGGAAGGGACUUUGAAUCCCGGAAAUAAGAAGGAUGCAUAUUUAGAAAUCAGAUUUGCCAUCACCCCCGCCCCCGCCCAGAGACACAGCAGGUAAGAUGGUGCAGCCUCAAGAACAAAACAUGAGACGAGUCGGGUGGGUUUGCCAGGAACCUAGCAAGAGUUUCCUAAACUACCAUGGCCUCCAUCCUAUGUCUCCUGGUACAUGGCUUUAUAUUAGCAGUUACUGGGUUCCAGUACUUCCACUAAGGCCUGUCAACCUUCCAAGACUCAGGCAUCAGCGAUGCAGCCGUGUGCCAUAGAAGACACAGUGUUUUGAAUCCGAGGGCCUGGGUGCACUAGCUGCGGGGCUCUGCAUAGCUCUGUGAACUCUGAAUCUCAGUUUCCACAACGACAGAGAGGACCACAGGGCCUAUGAGCCAGCGAGAGUGCUGGGAAGGUACAGACCUGCCCAAAUCAAGUUCAGCUCCUAGUGACGGCUUGCAAAGUCGCCCAACUGUAACGGAUGGUUCUGGCAUGAAGGAUGUGUGGAAGCUCAAAGUCCUCACUCCCCGUGAGAAGUGUGAACCUCGGAGGAUGUGACACCAAUGUAAGGAACAGGCAGAGCCUCUCUUUCCCCUGCCAGAGUGGAGUGUCGGGGGGGUAGACAGACUGCAUGGAAACCAAUGGGUGGGCCGAGUCUUUUUCUGUAUCUGUUUCUAGGGCUGUAAUGUAUAUUCGCUCUCUCCCACAUCCUGCUUUCUAUCUUCCUCUCCCUCCACAGGCACUUUAAAUACUGACUAGAAUAAGUAGGACUUUAAGAGGCAGACUAAAAGGCCUCUGGCCUCAUCAGACUGAGUUACUGUUCUGAGCAUGAAGGUUGCUGGAGAAGAAAAAUAGUAUGAGCAGUCAGAAGAUGGGUCCCCUUCUCUCUGUGGGGCUCAGGAUACGUUCUUAAAGGACAAUAAAACAGCCCUAGAACACGUGUUUCCUACUCACACACUUCCAUGUUCAUCCUGCAAUGUGGGAUCUUUUCCAGUACACAGUGGGUUCAGAGCUCAGGGCUGGUUCAGCGGCCUCUUUGUGGGCACUCUCUACUCAUUUGGUUCUGAGCCGUGUUUCCAGCUGCAGCUGUCUCUGAAAGCAACUACUCCCCUUUGAUGUCGGAGUCAGCACUUUCAACUUUGACUCGGCCAACAGGUGUUCCCUCACCACCUCUCCUCUAUACCAGCUGUCUUCUCUCCAGGUUCCCAGCAGGCAGCAAAGAGACAGAGCCUGUGGCCAGAGACAUUCACAACUGGAGUCUGUGGUGCACACCCUGAGGUCGCCUCUUUCUCCACUUCAUGGAAUAUGCAUAGCUACUGGGAGAACCAUAGCAUGGCGAGACAGGAAUGCUCCACAAAAAUAACGACAGUCUAUAUGUUUCUCUUUGGGUUCACCUUCUUAUUUAGCUUCUCUAGGACAACGAAUUAUAGGCUCAAUGUCCUUUAUUUAUGGCUAGAAACCAAAUAUGAGUGAGUACAUCCCAUGUUCCUCUUUUUGGGUCUGGCUUACCUCACUCAGGAUAGUUUUUUCUAUUUCUGUCCACUUGCAUGCAAAAUUCAAGAAGUCAUUGUUUUUUACUGCUGAGUAGUACUCUAAUAUGUAUAUAUUCCAUACUUUCUUCAUCCAUUUUAGGUGAACCCAAAGAAAAACAUAGGCAUCCUCCUGAAUAUUAACUUUCAUCAGGCAAUGAAAGAAGACAGAGACAGAGACCCACAUUGGAGCAACAGACAGAAAUCUCAAGGUCCAAAUCAGGAGCAGAAGGAGAGAGAGCACGAGCAAGGAACUCAGGACCGCGAGGGGUGCACCCACACACUGAGACAAUGGGGAUGUUCUAUCGGGAACUCACCAAGGCCAGCUGGCCUGGAUCUGAAAAAGCAUGGGAUAAAACCGGAUUCGCUGAACAGAGCGGACAAGGAGGACUACUGAGACCUCAAGAACAAUGGCAAUGGGUUUUUGAUCCUACUGCACGUACUGGCUUUGUGGGAGCCUAGGCAGUUUGGAUGCUCACCUUACAAGACCUGGAUGGAGGUGGGUGGUCCUUGGACUUCCCACAGGGCAGGGAACCCUGAUUGCUCUUUGG
Alexandromys fortis (reed vole) is the source of this 3208-nucleotide long non-coding RNA. RefSeq lists it as uncharacterized. The record is from RefSeq and is a predicted model, not a curated record. The transcript has 4 exons. Lineage: Eukaryota; Metazoa; Chordata; Mammalia; Rodentia; Cricetidae.